RNAcentral lists this long non-coding RNA (244 nucleotides) under Solanum tuberosum (potato). RNAcentral describes it as "long non-coding RNA (STUB_LNC001112)". Lineage: Eukaryota; Viridiplantae; Streptophyta; Magnoliopsida; Solanales; Solanaceae. The record is from RNAcentral.
UCCCAUAGUUUGAGGGUGACUGAGGCCUACUCCAUGACUUGAUUCACUUUUCUACAAUAGGCAGAUAGAUGACACUCAUCUGAUUGUUUGUGUUAAAUUGGCUUCUUUUGGAUGGCCACAACGAUGGAUACAGUAUGAUAGCCUGUUAAUAUGCAACUUUGCAGUUACAAUAUUGACAUAUUUUUGCGUACUUGCUUGUUGAAUAUUGACAUAGUGCUGCUAAGUUUCUUUCGUUCNNNNNNNN